Molecule: ribosomal RNA, 1277 nt
Filed under: Escherichia coli
Lineage: Bacteria; Pseudomonadati; Pseudomonadota; Gammaproteobacteria; Enterobacterales; Enterobacteriaceae
Description: partial 23S ribosomal RNA
Rfam family: Bacterial large subunit ribosomal RNA
Source: RNAcentral
GGCUAAAUACUCCUGACUGACCGAUAGUGAACCAGUACCGUGAGGGAAAGGCGAAAAGAACCCCGGCGAGGGGAGUGAAAAAGAACCUGAAACCGUGUACGUACAAGCAGUGGGAGCACGCUUAGGCGUGUGACUGCGUACCUUUUGUAUAAUGGGUCAGCGACUUAUAUUCUGUAGCAAGGUUAACCGAAUAGGGGAGCCGAAGGGAAACCGAGUCUUAACUGGGCGUUAAGUUGCAGGGUAUAGACCCGAAACCCGGUGAUCUAGCCAUGGGCAGGUUGAAGGUUGGGUAACACUAACUGGAGGACCGAACCGACUAAUGUUGAAAAAUUAGCGGAUGACUUGUGGCUGGGGGUGAAAGGCCAAUCAAACCGGGAGAUAGCUGGUUCUCCCCGAAAGCUAUUUAGGUAGCGCCUCGUGAAUUCAUCUCCGGGGGUAGAGCACUGUUUCGGCAAGGGGGUCAUCCCGACUUACCAACCCGAUGCAAACUGCGAAUACCGGAGAAUGUUAUCACGGGAGACACACGGCGGGUGCUAACGUCCGUCGUGAAGAGGGAAACAACCCAGACCGCCAGCUAAGGUCCCAAAGUCAUGGUUAAGUGGGAAACGAUGUGGGAAGGCCCAGACAGCCAGGAUGUUGGCUUAGAAGCAGCCAUCAUUUAAAGAAAGCGUAAUAGCUCACUGGUCGAGUCGGCCUGCGCGGAAGAUGUAACGGGGCUAAACCAUGCACCGAAGCUGCGGCAGCGACACUAUGUGUUGUUGGGUAGGGGAGCGUUCUGUAAGCCUGUGAAGGUGUGCUGUGAGGCAUGCUGGAGGUAUCAGAAGUGCGAAUGCUGACAUAAGUAACGAUAAAGCGGGUGAAAAGCCCGCUCGCCGGAAGACCAAGGGUUCCUGUCCAACGUUAAUCGGGGCAGGGUGAGUCGACCCCUAAGGCGAGGCCGAAAGGCGUAGUCGAUGGGAAACAGGUUAAUAUUCCUGUACUUGGUGUUACUGCGAAGGGGGGACGGAGAAGGCUAUGUUGGCCGGGCGACGGUUGUCCCGGUUUAAGCGUGUAGGCUGGUUUUCCAGGCAAAUCCGGAAAAUCAAGGCUGAGGCGUGAUGACGAGGCACUACGGUGCUGAAGCAACAAAUGCCCUGCUUCCAGGAAAAGCCUCUAAGCAUCAGGUAACAUCAAAUCGUACCCCAAACCGACACAGGUGGUCAGGUAGAGAAUACCAAGGCGCUUGAGAGAACUCGGGUGAAGGAACUAGGCAAAAUGGUGCCGUAACUUCGGGAGAA